ACUCAAAUGAAUUGACGGGGACCUGCACAAGUGGUGGAGCAUGCGGUUUAAUUCGAUGGUAAGCGAGGAACCUUACCUAGGCUUGACAUGUACCUGCAUAUACCAGAAAUGGUAUAGCCUUCGAGGGUGGUACACAGGUGCUGCACGGUUGUCGUCAGCUCGUGCCGUGAGGUGUUCACUUAAGUGUGAAAACGAGCGCAACCCCUAUCAUAAGUUACAAGUGUCUUAUGAAACUGCCGGCGUAUAAGCCGGAGGAAGGCGGGGAUGACGUCAAAUCAGCGUGGCUCUUACGCCUAGGGCGACACGCGUGCUACAAUGGGUGGUCACAAAGGGACGCCAAAGAGUAAUCUGGAGCAAAUCCUUUAAACCCACCCCCAGUUCGGAUUGAGGGCUGCAACUCGCCCUCAUGAAGUCGGAAUCACUAGUAAUCGUGGAUCAGCCUCGCCACGGUGAAUACGUUCUCAGGUUUUGUACACACCGCCCGU
This 485-nucleotide ribosomal RNA is filed under the name uncultured bacterium. Its description in RNAcentral is "partial 16S ribosomal RNA". It matches the Rfam family "Bacterial small subunit ribosomal RNA", at positions 899 to 1397 of the family's 1533-position model. The record is from RNAcentral.